GAUGAUAUACCAAAAUGGUUUAUUUUAUUUUGAUGUAGAAAUUGAAUUUGAUAUAGUGCGUAGAUAACAAAUAAAAGUUCUUUAUCAAAUAAAAAAUUAGUAUAACUAUACCUUAUUUCAAAAUGAAGGAGGUAUAGUACCAUCUCAAUAUUU
Aggregatibacter actinomycetemcomitans D11S-1 is the source of this 153-nucleotide non-coding RNA. Lineage: Bacteria; Pseudomonadati; Pseudomonadota; Gammaproteobacteria; Pasteurellales; Pasteurellaceae. The record is from Rfam.